This 867-nucleotide ribosomal RNA is filed under the name uncultured archaeon. RNAcentral describes it as "bacterial SSU rRNA". It matches the Rfam family "Archaeal small subunit ribosomal RNA", at positions 1 to 878 of the family's 1478-position model. The record is from RNAcentral.
CUCCGGUUGAUCCCGCCGGACCCGACUGCUAUCAGAGUGGGACUAAGCCAUGCGAGUCAACAUAGCAAUAUGUGGCAUACGGCUCAGUAACACGUAGUCAACAUGCCCAGGGGACGUGGAUAACCUCGGGAAACUGAGGAUAAACCGCGAUAGGUCAUCACUUCUGGAAUGGGUAAUGACUUAAAUCUAUAUGGCCCCUGGAUUGGACUGCGGCCGAUCAGGCUGUUGGUGAGGUAAUGGCCCACCAAACCUGUAACCGGUACGGGCUCUGAGAGGAGGAGCCCGGAGAUGGGCACUGAGACAAGGGCCCAGGCCCUAUGGGGCGCAGCAGGCGCGAAACCUCUGCAAUAGGCGAAAGCUUGACAGGGUUACUCUGAGUGAUUUCCGUUAAGGAGAUCUUUUGGCACCUCUAAAAAUGGUGCAGAAUAAGGGGUGGGCAAGUCUGGUGUCAGCCGCCGCGGUAAUACCAGCACCCCGAGUGGUCGGGACGUUUAUUGGGCCUAAAGCAUCCGUAGCCGGUUCUACAAGUCUUCCGUUAAAUCCACCUGCUUAACAGAUGGGCUGCGGAAGAUACUAUAGAGCUAGGAGGCGGGAGAGGCAAGCGGUACUCGAUGGGUAGGGGUAAAAUCCGUUGAUCCAUUGAAGACCACCAGUGGCGAAGGCGGCUUGCCAGAACGCGCUCGACGGUGAGGGAUGAAAGCUGGGGGAGCAAACCGGAUUAGAUACCCGGGUAGUCCCAGCUGUAAACGAUGCAGACUCGGUGAUGAGUUGGCUUAUUGCUAACUCAGUGCCGCAGGGAAGCCGUUAAGUUUGCCGCCUGGGGAGUACGGUCGCAAGACUGAAACUUAAAGAAUUGGCGGGGGAGCA